Molecule: long non-coding RNA, 687 nt
Organism: Rhipicephalus microplus (southern cattle tick)
Lineage: Eukaryota; Metazoa; Arthropoda; Arachnida; Ixodida; Ixodidae
Source: RefSeq, a predicted model, not a curated record
ACGGGAAACAUUGAUGGCAACAACUUGCAUAAGCUCGCCUCAACCUCCUCGGACCAAUUAAAAGAUAUUACCGAUGGUGCGCUGUACAAGAAGAUGCACCAAGUGCUCAAGAUGAGGUGGAGCGACUUGAAUUUAACUCUGAACAUCGAUGGCUCGCCAGUCUUGAAAUCCAUCAAAGGCUCAGUGUGGCUGAUUCACGUCUAACUGAAUGAGUUGCCUGUGCCUCUUCAUUGGAAAACAUUCUGAUUGAAGGACUUUGGUUUAGCAAAGAACGUCCACCUGCCCACCUUUUCUUUAAGGCCUUUGUUGACAAGUUUCAAGGUCUGGGAAAGAUAACAUGGUCAUUUGCGCAGUAAGUUGUCCAUUCUGCCAUUCGACUCGCCCGCACAAGCUUUUUUGCUGAAUUCAAAACAGUUCAACGGGUACUACAGCUGUUCUUGGUGCCUGCAGAAAGGAGCUCUUGUUGAAGGUGCCAGCGUUUCGGCCACAGCUCUCAGAGCUGCCCUGGGCGUAAAACCUGUGCAAACAGUAGUUUGCGUGAACACGCUAAGGACAACUAUGAAGAAGGAACUGUUACUGCGCAAACUGCAACGUUGGACACACCACUUACUCUCGCACAUGUGCUACGUGAAAACACGAAUAAGAAAUACUUACGCUCAAAGUAAAUAAAAACAUCUCAUUUAGGAA